RNAcentral lists this ribosomal RNA (484 nucleotides) under uncultured bacterium. RNAcentral's name for it is "partial 16S ribosomal RNA". It matches the Rfam family "Bacterial small subunit ribosomal RNA", at positions 28 to 507 of the family's 1533-position model. The record is from RNAcentral.
AUUGAACGCUGGCGGCAUGCUUUACACAUGCAAGUCGAACGGCAGCGCGGGCUUCGGCCUGGCGGCGAGUGGCGAACGGGUGAGUAAUGCAUUGGAACGUGCCCAGUAGUGGGGGAUAGCCCGGCGAAAGCCGGAUUAAUACCGCAUACGACCUGAGGGUGCAAGCGGGGGACCGAAAGGCCUCGCGCUAUUGGAGCGGCCGAGGUCGGAUUAGCUCGUUGGUGGGGUAAAGGCGUACCAAGGCGACGAUCCGUAGCUGGUCUGAGAGGACGACCAGCCACACUGGGACUGGGACACGGCCCAGACUCCUACGGGAGGCAGCAGUGGGGAAUUUUGGACAAUGGGGGCAACCCUGAUCCAGGCAUGCCGCGUGCGAGAAGAAGGCCUUCGGGUUGUAAACCGCUUUUGUUCGGGAAGAAAUCCUCUGGGCUAAUACCCCGGGGGGAUGACGGUACCGGAAGAAUAAGCACCGGCUAACUACGUG